Molecule: ribosomal RNA, 282 nt
Filed under: uncultured bacterium
Lineage: Bacteria
Description: partial 16S ribosomal RNA
Rfam family: Bacterial small subunit ribosomal RNA
Source: RNAcentral
UGGGAAGUCUUGCACAAUGGAGGCAACUCUGAUGCAGCGACGCCGCGUGAGCGAUGAAGCCUCGGGUGUGAAGCAUCUUUCGACGGGAAAGAUUAUGACGGUACCGAGAAGAAGCUGCGGCUAACUACGUGCCAGCAGCCGCGGUAAUACGUAGGCAGCGAGCGUUGUUCGGAAUUACUGGGCGUAAAGAGUGUGUAGGCGGUCUGAAUAGUCUGCUGUGAAAGCGCCUGGCUUAACCGGGCGAGGUCGGCGGAAACUCUCAGACUGGAGGCCGGUAGAGGG